This 1369-nucleotide ribosomal RNA is filed under the name uncultured bacterium. Its description in RNAcentral is "bacterial SSU rRNA". It matches the Rfam family "Bacterial small subunit ribosomal RNA", at positions 28 to 1381 of the family's 1533-position model. The record is from RNAcentral.
GACGAACGCUGGCGGCGUGCCUAAUACAUGCAAGUAGAACGCUGAAGAGAGGAGCUUGCUCUUCUUGGAUGAGUUGCGAACGGGUGAGUAACGCGUAGGUAACCUGCCUUGUAGCGGGGGAUAACUAUUGGAAACGAUAGCUAAUACCGCAUAACAAUGGAUGACACAUGUCAUUUAUUUGAAAGGGGCAAUUGCUCCACUACAAGAUGGACCUGCGUUGUAUUAGCUAGUAGGUGAGGUAAUGGCUCACCUAGGCGACGAUACAUAGCCGACCUGAGAGGGUGAUCGGCCACACUGGGACUGAGACACGGCCCAGACUCCUACGGGAGGCAGCAGUAGGGAAUCUUCGGCAAUGGGGGCAACCCUGACCGAGCAACGCCGCGUGAGUGAAGAAGGUUUUCGGAUCGUAAAGCUCUGUUGUAAGUCAAGAACGGGUGUGAGAGUGGAAAGUUCACACUGUGACGGUAGCUUACCAGAAAGGGACGGCUAACUACGUGCCAGCAGCCGCGGUAAUACGUAGGUCCCGAGCGUUGUCCGGAUUUAUUGGGCGUAAAGCGAGCGCAGGCGGUUUGAUAAGUCUGAAGUUAAAGGCUGUGGCUCAACCAUAGUUCGCUUUGGAAACUGUCAAACUUGAGUGCAGAAGGGGAGAGUGGAAUUCCAUGUGUAGCGGUGAAAUGCGUAGAUAUAUGGAGGAACACCGGUGGCGAAAGCGGCUCUCUGGUCUGUAACUGACGCUGAGGCUCGAAAGCGUGGGGAGCGAACAGGAUUAGAUACCCUGGUAGUCCACGCCGUAAACGAUGAGUGCUAGGUGUUGGAUCCUUUCCGGGAUUCAGUGCCGCAGCUAACGCAUUAAGCACUCCGCCUGGGGAGUACGACCGCAAGGUUGAAACUCAAAGGAAUUGACGGGGGCCCGCACAAGCGGUGGAGCAUGUGGUUUAAUUCGAAGCAACGCGAAGAACCUUACCAGGUCUUGACAUCCCGAUGCUAUUUCUAGAGAUAGAAAGUUACUUCGGUACAUCGGUGACAGGUGGUGCAUGGUUGUCGUCAGCUCGUGUCGUGAGAUGUUGGGUUAAGUCCCGCAACGAGCGCAACCCCUAUUGUUAGUUGCAAUCAUUCAGUUGGGCACUCUAGCGAGACUGCCGGUAAUAAACCGGAGGAAGGUGGGGAUGACGUCAAAUCAUCAUGCCCCUUAUGACCUGGGCUACACACGUGCUACAAUGGUUGGUACAACGAGUUGCGAGUCGGUGACGGCGAGCUAAUCUCUUAAAGCCAAUCUCAGUUCGGAUUGUAGGCUGCAACUCGCCUACAUGAAGUCGGAAUCGCUAGUAAUCGCGGAUCAGCACGCCGCGGUGAAUACGUUCCCGGGCCU